RNAcentral lists this ribosomal RNA (592 nucleotides) under uncultured Pseudomonas sp. RNAcentral describes it as "bacterial SSU rRNA". It matches the Rfam family "Bacterial small subunit ribosomal RNA", at positions 126 to 715 of the family's 1533-position model. The record is from RNAcentral. Lineage: Bacteria; Pseudomonadati; Pseudomonadota; Gammaproteobacteria; Pseudomonadales; Pseudomonadaceae.
CCGGCCGGUGUUGGGGUACGUCCGGAACGGGCGCUAAUACCGCAUACGUCCUGAGGGAGAAAGUGGGGGAUCUUCCGGACACUACGCUAUCAGAUGAGCCUAGGUCGGAUUAGCUAGUUGGUCGGGGUAAAGGCCUACCAAGGCGACGAUCCGUAACUGGUCUGAGAGGAUGAUCAGUCACACUGGAACUGAGACACGGUCCAGACUCCUACGGGAGGCAGCAGUGGGGAAUAUUGGACAAUGGGCGAAAGCCUGAUCCAGCCAUGCCGCGUGUGUGAAGAAGGUCUUCGGAUUGUAAAGCACUUUAAGUUGGGAGGAAGGGCAGUAAGUUAAUACCUUGCUGUUUUGACGUUACCAACAGAAUAAGCACCGGCUAACUUCGUGCCAGCAGCCGCGGUAAUACGAAGGGUGCAAGCGUUAAUCGGAAUUACUGGGCGUAAAGCGCGCGUAGGUGGUUCAGCAAGUUGGAUGUGAAAUCCCCGGGCUCAACCUGGGAACUGCAUCCAAAACUACUGAGCUAGAGUACGGUAGAGGGUGGUGGAAUUUCCUGUGUAGCGGUGAAAUGCGUAGAUAUAGGAAGGAACACCAGUGA